GAGUUUGAUCGUGGCUCAGAUUGAACGCUGGCGGCAGGCCUAACACAUGCAAGUCGAGCGGAUGACGGGAGCUUGCUCCUUGAUUCAGCGGCGGACGGGUGAGUAAUGCCUAGGAAUCUGCCUGGUAGUGGGGGACAACGUUUCGAAAGGAACGCUAAUACCGCAUACGUCCUACGGGAGAAAGCAGGGGACCUUCGGGCCUUGCGCUAUCAGAUGAGCCUAGGUCGGAUUAGCUAGUUGGUGGGGUAAUGGCUCACCAAGGCGACGAUCCGUAACUGGUCUGAGAGGAUGAUCAGUCACACUGGAACUGAGACACGGUCCAGACUCCUACGGGAGGCAGCAGUGGGGAAUAUUGGACAAUGGGCGAAAGCCUGAUCCAGCCAUGCCGCGUGUGUGAAGAAGGUCUUCGGAUUGUAAAGCACUUUAAGUUGGGAGGAAGGGCGAGUAAGUUAAUACCUUGCUGUUUUGACGUUACCGACAGAAUAAGCACCGGCUAACUCUGUGCCAGCAGCC
Molecule: ribosomal RNA, 513 nt
Filed under: bacterium enrichment culture clone ALO1_GLFRUDD03F16NN
Lineage: Bacteria
Description: bacterial SSU rRNA
Rfam family: Bacterial small subunit ribosomal RNA
Source: RNAcentral